Molecule: ribosomal RNA, 494 nt
Filed under: uncultured bacterium
Lineage: Bacteria
Description: partial 16S ribosomal RNA
Rfam family: Bacterial small subunit ribosomal RNA
Source: RNAcentral
GACGAACGCUGGCGGCGUGCUUAAUACAUGCAAGUCGAACGGUGAAGCGCCUUCCUUUUUGGUGGGUGUGGAUGAGUGGUGAACGGGUGAGUAACACGUGAGUAACCUGCCCCCUUCUUCUGGAUAACCGCAUGAAAGUGUGGCUAAUACGGGAUAUUCUGGGUCUGUCGCAUGAUGGGUCUGGGAAAGAUAUUGUUUCGGUGGGGGAUGGGCUCGCGGCCUAUCAGCUUGUUGGUGGGGUGAUGGCCUACCAAGGCGGUGACGGGUAGCCGGCCUGAGAGGGUGGACGGUCACAAUGGGACUGAGACACGGCCCAGACUCCUACGGGAGGCAGCAGUGGGGAAUAGUGCACAAUGGGCGCAAGCCUGAUGCAGCGACGCCGCGUGAGGGAUGGAGGCCUUCGGGUUGUGAACCUCUUUCGCCAGUGAAGCAGGCCUGCCUCGUUUGUGGGUGGGUUGACGGUAGCUGGAUAAGAAGCGCCGGCUAACUACGUG